UGGGGAAUUUUGGACAAUGGGCGCAAGCCUGAUCCAGCAAUGCCGCGUGCAGGAUGAAGGCCUUCGGGUUGUAAACCGCUUUUGUCAGGGAAGAAACGAGUUUCUCUAAUACAGAGACUUAAUGACGGUACCUGAAGAAUAAGCACCGGCUAACUACGUGCCAGCAGCCGCGGUAAUACGUAGGGUGCAAGCGUUAAUCGGAAUUACUGGGCGUAAAGCGUGCGCAGGCGGUUAUGCAAGACAGAUGUGAAAUCCCCGGGCUCAACCUGGGACCUGCAUUUGUGACUGUAUAGCUAGAGUACGGUAGAGGGGGAUGGAAUUCCGCGUGUAGCAGUGAAAUGCGUAGAUAUGCGGAGGAACACCGAUGGCGAAGGCAAUCCCCUGGACCUGUACUGACGCUCAUGCACGAAAGCGUGGGGAGCAAACA
RNAcentral lists this ribosomal RNA (427 nucleotides) under uncultured bacterium. RNAcentral's name for it is "bacterial SSU rRNA". It matches the Rfam family "Bacterial small subunit ribosomal RNA", at positions 355 to 774 of the family's 1533-position model. The record is from RNAcentral.